Molecule: ribosomal RNA, 200 nt
Filed under: uncultured bacterium
Lineage: Bacteria
Description: partial 16S ribosomal RNA
Rfam family: Bacterial small subunit ribosomal RNA
Source: RNAcentral
CCCCUACGGGAGGCAGCAGUGGGGAAUUUUGGACAAUGGGCGCAAGCCUGAUCCAGCCAUGCCGCGUGUCUGAAGAAGGCCUUCGGGUUGUAAAGGACUUUUGUCAGGGAAGAAAAGGACAGGGUUAAUACCUCUGUUUGAUGACGGUACCUGAAGAAUAAGCACCGGCUAACUACGUGCCAGCAGCCGCGGUAAUGGGG